Molecule: ribosomal RNA, 370 nt
Filed under: uncultured bacterium
Lineage: Bacteria
Description: bacterial SSU rRNA
Rfam family: Bacterial small subunit ribosomal RNA
Source: RNAcentral
AGAGGUGGCAAGCGUUGCUCGGAGUUACUGGGCAUAAAGGGCGCGUAGGCGGUCGAGUGCGUCGAGGGUGAAAUCCCCGGGCUUAACCCGGGAACUGCCUUCGAUACGGCCCGACUGGAGUGCGGGAGGGGAGAGUGGAACUCCUGGUGGAGCGGUGAAAUGCGUAGAUAUCAGGAGGAACGCCGGUGGCGAAAGCGACUCUCUGGUCCGCAACUGACGCUGAGGCGCGAAAGCCAGGGGAGCAAACGGGAUUAGAUACCCCGGUAGUCCUGGCCCUAAACUAUGAGCACUAGGUAGCGGCAGGUCCGAAUUGUCGCUGCUGAAGCAAAUGUAUUAAGUGCUCCGCCUGGGGAGUAUGGUCGCAAGGCUA